CCAGACUCCUACGGGAGGCAGCAGUGAGGAAUAUUGGUCAAUGGGCGCGAGCCUGAACCAGCCAAGUCGCGUGAGGGAAGACGGUCCUAUGGAUUGUAAACCUCUUUUGUCGGGGAGCAAAAGACGCCACGCGUGGCGUUCCGAGAGUACCCGAAGAAAAAGCAUCGGCUAACUCCGUGCCAGCAGCCGCGGUAAUACGGAGGAUGCGAGCGUUAUCCGGAUUUAUUGGGUUUAAAGGGUGCGUAGGCGGGACGGUAAGUCAGCGGUAAAAAUGCGGAGCUCAACUCCGUCGAGCCGUUGAAACUGUCGGACUAGAGACGGCGAGAAGUACGCGGAAUGCGCGGUGUAGCGGUGAAAUGCAUAGAUAUCGCGCAGAACUCCGAUUGCGAAGGCAGCGUACCGGCGCCGGACUGACGCUGAGGCACGAAAGCGUGGGUAUCGAACAGGAUUAGAUACCCGAGUAA
RNAcentral lists this ribosomal RNA (464 nucleotides) under uncultured bacterium. RNAcentral's name for it is "bacterial SSU rRNA". It matches the Rfam family "Bacterial small subunit ribosomal RNA", at positions 331 to 793 of the family's 1533-position model. The record is from RNAcentral.